GACGAACGCUGGCGGCGUGCCUAACACAUGCAAGUCGAACGGAGUUAAGACUUCGGUUUUAACUUAGUGGCGAACGGGUGAGUAACGCGUGAGAAACCUGCCUUUCAGUGGGGGACAACAGUUGGAAACGACUGCUAAUACCGCAUAAUGUACACGGACCGCAUGAUCUGUGUACCAAAGCUUUAUGUGCUGAAAGAUGGUCUCGCGUCUGAUUAGCUAGUUGGUGAGAUAACGGCUCACCAAGGCGACGAUCAGUAGCCGGUCUGAGAGGAUGAACGGCCACAUUGGGACUGAGAUACGGCCCAGACUCCUACGGGAGGCAGCAGUGGGGAAUAUUGGGCAAUGGGGGAAACCCUGACCCAGCAACGCCGCGUGAAGGAAGAAGGCCUCGGGUUGUAAACUUCUUUAGUCAGGGACGAAGAACGUGACGGUACCUGCAGAAAAAGCAACGGCUAACUAACGUG
This 464-nucleotide ribosomal RNA is filed under the name uncultured bacterium. RNAcentral's name for it is "bacterial SSU rRNA". It matches the Rfam family "Bacterial small subunit ribosomal RNA", at positions 28 to 507 of the family's 1533-position model. The record is from RNAcentral.